GUGCAUCAGCGGAGGCGCGAAAAACACGCGCGCGGCAUAAGUGGUUCAGCGCGGGGGUGAGACGGCAUCGCACGCCGUUUAUUUCGUGCGCCCACUCUCGCGCGCUGCACACUCAAGCAACCGCGCUGCGACUUUCACCUACCCUCAAUUCAGGUGCCGUCGCCGCCGCCGCCGCCUGCACCACCUUAUUUGCUCCCGCGACCCGAUGGCGCUUCCCCGGUCUAUCCCCACGCCGCUGCUGCUUCCUCCGUGUCCCUCUAGUCACCGUCGCCCCUAGCGCGCAUCAUUCCUCCGACGAACAACGUCCGGCCGCCCACUGCCGCUCGACGCCCACAAGGUGUUCGACAAAACGCUUGCAAGAAGUGGAGAUCAUUGACUAAGGAUGGGGACCUUGAGGCGUUCGACGAUAUGCUAUCCAAAA
Triticum dicoccoides is the source of this 421-nucleotide long non-coding RNA. RefSeq lists it as uncharacterized. The transcript has 2 exons. The record is from RefSeq and is a predicted model, not a curated record. Lineage: Eukaryota; Viridiplantae; Streptophyta; Magnoliopsida; Poales; Poaceae.